UACGAAGGGGGCUAGCGUUGUUCGGAUUUACUGGGCGUAAAGCGCACGUAGGCGGAUUGUUAAGUCGGGGGUGAAAUCCUGGAGCUCAACUUCAGAAUUGCCUUCGAUACUGGCUUUCUAGAGGCUGGAAGAGGUUAGUGGAAUUCCCAGUGUAGAGGUGAAAUUCGUAGAUAUUGGGAAGAACACCAGUGGCGAAGGCGGCUAACUGGUCCAGAUCUGACGCUGAGGUGCGAAAGCGUGGGGAGCAAACAGG
Molecule: ribosomal RNA, 253 nt
Filed under: uncultured bacterium
Lineage: Bacteria
Also listed under: 1 other name
Description: partial 16S ribosomal RNA
Rfam family: Bacterial small subunit ribosomal RNA
Source: RNAcentral